RNAcentral lists this long non-coding RNA (566 nucleotides) under Gopherus evgoodei (Goodes thornscrub tortoise). Its description in RNAcentral is "lncRNA (ENSGEVG00005004418.1)". Lineage: Eukaryota; Metazoa; Chordata; Testudines; Testudinidae. The record is from RNAcentral.
AUGUGUCAUUCCCUGUGGCUAGGAGGCACUAAAACACUGAUCUCCAGAGUCCCAGAUUGGUGCCUUACCCACAAGCCUUUCCAACGGUUUUCUCCUCCCUUGUGUAGGAUAAAUGAAGCUGCAGAUUGCCACAUGCUGACUUCUGGUCUAAUCCAAUGUGUUCCCUCCCCAUCUCAGUUCCUGACUGAGCCAGAACCUGCGGGAACAUCUGUCUCACCUUGGAGAGUCUUCCCUCAGGGCUACUGCUCUCUGCCCUGCCAUCACUAGACACCAGUGCUUUCCCGGAUGUGAUGUAGGAUUCUUUCUAUAAUGCCCAGGACAGUGCCCCAAAGAAACGAAAAGGAAAAGACCAGAGUGGGUAAGUGAUGCUCAGUGGGGUAGUUUGGAAUUAGCCAGAGGGAUUCUUUUCAGAGCUUCUCCACUUCUAGCUUCAUCUCCAGUGUUUCAGCAACCAGAGCAAGAGCCACCUCCAGAAGCCCCUUCGCUGACGGUACCUACGCACAGGUAUUGCCUGAGAAUAACUUGUGAUCAGGGCACCAGAACUGGGGGUGCCCAGGGUCCAUGGC